Molecule: ribosomal RNA, 473 nt
Filed under: uncultured bacterium
Lineage: Bacteria
Description: SSU rRNA
Rfam family: Bacterial small subunit ribosomal RNA
Source: RNAcentral
AGGACGAACGCUGGCGGCGUGCUUAACACAUGCAAGUCGAGCGGUAAGGCUCCUUCGGGAGUACACGAGCGGCGAACGGGUGAGUAACACGUGAGCAAUCUGCCCUUCUCUUCGGAAUAAGCGUUGGAAACGACGUCUAAUGCCGAAUACGACCUCCUUUCACAUGGUCGGAGGUGGAAAGCUCCGGCGGAGAAGGAUGAGCUCGCGGCCUAUCAGCUAGUUGGUGUGGGUAACGGCCCACCAAGGCGACGACGGGUAGCCGGCCUGAGAGGAUGAUCAGCCACACUGGGACUGAGACACGGCCCAGACUCCUACGGGAGGCAGCAGUGGGGAAUCUUGCACAAUGGGCGAAAGCCUGAUGCAGCAACGCCGCGUGCGGGAUGAAGGCCCUAGGGUUGUAAACCGCUUUCAGCAGGGAAGAAAUGACGGUACCUGUAGAAGAAGGUGCGGCCAACGUACGUGCCAGCAGCCGC